CCUCUUGGAGUUCUAGCUCAUCUUUCUGAUGUUGUUCUUGUACUCAUCUGUUUAAUCUAGUUCUGCCACUUCUUCUUGAACUUCUGGUUAGAUUUCAAGUCUGUAUUUUGUGUCCGUGACAGUAGGUGACAAUGUCUUUUUUGAUAAAUUUUUAUAUUUUAUUUUAUCUUAGUUAUUUUAUUAUUUAUAGACCAUGUCAAAUGCAAGAAUUAUGUUCUCUCUAUUCUUACAAAUAGUCGCAGAUGGUGCCAUAUAUGAGUCCCACAAAUUGAUCUUAAUUAGUGG
This 285-nucleotide long non-coding RNA is filed under the name Physcomitrium patens. RNAcentral's name for it is "long non-coding RNA (PPAT_LNC009258)". The record is from RNAcentral. Lineage: Eukaryota; Viridiplantae; Streptophyta; Bryopsida; Funariales; Funariaceae.